Molecule: ribosomal RNA, 253 nt
Filed under: uncultured bacterium
Lineage: Bacteria
Description: partial 16S ribosomal RNA
Rfam family: Bacterial small subunit ribosomal RNA
Source: RNAcentral
GACAGAGGGGGCAAGCGUUGCUCGGAAUCACUGGGCGUAAAGGGCGCGUAGGCGGGAUGGCAAGUCGGUCGUGAAAUCCUUCGGCUCAACCGAAGAACGUCGGCCGAUACUGCCGUUCUUGAGGGAUGCAGAGGAGAUUGGAAUUCCCGGUGUAGCGGUGAAAUGUGUAGAGAUCGGGAGGAACACCGGUGGCGAAGGCGGGUCUCUGGGCAUCUCCUGACGCUGAGGCGCGAAAGCUAGGGGAGCAAACAGG